UAUACAGCGAAACUGCGAACGGCUCAUUACAACAGAUAUAAUUUACUAGUUCUUGUUCCUAUAUGGAUAACUGCGGUAAUUCUGGAGCCAAUACAUGCAUCAAGCCGCGGCCCUUCGGGAUCGUGGUGCAAUUAUUGGAGCAAAACCAGUCUCGUACUGUUUGCUAACUCUGGAUAAUUCUGCUUAUCGCAUGGUCUUGUACCGGCGAAGUUUCUUUCAAGUAUCUGCUUUAUCAACUAUCGUUGGUAGUUUAUUGGACUACCAUGGUGUUGACGGGUAACGGAGAAUCAGGGUUUGACUCCGGAGAGGGAGCCUUAGAAACGGCUACCAUGUCUAAGGAUAGCAGCAGGCGCGAAAAUUACCCAAUAUCAAAACGAUGAGGUAGUGACGAGAAAUAACGAGAUCGUUCUCUUUGAGGUCGAUUAUUGGAAUGAGUACAAUCCAGACAUUUUAACGAGUAUCUACGAGAGGGCAAGUCUGGUGCCAGCAGCCGCGGUAAUUCCAGCUCUCGUAAUGUAUAGAAUUAUUGUUGCGAUUAAAAAGUUCGUAGUUGGAUUGUCACGCAGACAUGGGUCCACCUUCGUGGUGCGUACUCAAUGUUUGCAUUUUGUUGGUUUUCGUUUUGUCGUUUCGGCGACACUAUGAUGCCAGCAGGAUUACUUUGAACGGCUCAAGUGCUUAAAGCGAGUCUUAUGACUGAAUACCGGUGCAUGGAAUAAUGGAACAAGGUUGCGGCCGAGUUUUAUUGGUUUUGUCGGCUGAAACAAUGGUUAACAGGAACAGCCGGGGGCAUUCGUAUCGCUGCGCGAGAGGUGAAAUUCGUGGACCGUAGCGAGACGCCCGACAGCGAAGGCAUUUGCCAAGAGUGUUUUCAUUAAUCAAGAACGAAAGUCAGAGGUUCGAAGGCGAUUAGAUACCGCCCUAGUUCUGACCGUAAACGAUGCCAACUGUCGAUCCGCUCUUGGAUCUAAUUCUUGAGCGGGGAGAUUCCCGGAAACGAAAGUUUUUCGGUUUCGGGGGAAGUAUGGUUGCAAAGCUGAAACUUAAAGGAAUUGACGGAAGGGCACCACCAGGAGUGGAGCCUGCGGCUUAAUUUGACUC
This 1101-nucleotide ribosomal RNA is filed under the name Bursaphelenchus sp. t YF-2022. RNAcentral's name for it is "SSU rRNA". It matches the Rfam family "Eukaryotic small subunit ribosomal RNA", at positions 75 to 1201 of the family's 1831-position model. The record is from RNAcentral. Lineage: Eukaryota; Metazoa; Nematoda; Chromadorea; Rhabditida; Aphelenchoididae.